UAGGGAAUCUUCGGCAAUGGGGGGAACCCUGACCGAGCAACGCCGCGUGAGUGAAGAAGGUUUUCGGAUCGUAAAGCUCUGUUGUUAAGGAAGAACGAGUGUGAGAAUGGAAAGUUCAUACUGUGACGGUACUUAACCAGAAAGGGACGGCUAACUACGUGCCAGCAGCCGCGGUAAUACGUAGGUCCCGAGCGUUGUCCGGAUUUAUUGGGCGUAAAGCGAGCGCAGGCGGUUAGAAAAGUCUGAAGUGAAAGGCAGUGGCUCAACCAUUGUAGGCUUUGGAAACUGUUUAACUUGAGUGCAGAAGGGGAGAGUGGAAUUCCAUGUGUAGCGGUGAAAUGCGUAGAUAUAUGGAGGAACACCGGUGGCGAAAGCGGCUCUCUGGUCUGUAACUGACGCUGAGGCUCGAAAGCGUGGGGAGCGAACAGGAUUAGAUACCCUGGUAGUCCACGCCGUAACGAUGAGUGCUAGGUGUUGGGUCCUUUCCGGGGCUCAGUGCCGCAGCUAACGCAUUAAGCACUCCGCCUGGGGAGUACGACCGCAAGGUUG
RNAcentral lists this ribosomal RNA (549 nucleotides) under uncultured bacterium. RNAcentral's name for it is "bacterial SSU rRNA". It matches the Rfam family "Bacterial small subunit ribosomal RNA", at positions 355 to 896 of the family's 1533-position model. The record is from RNAcentral.